Molecule: non-coding RNA, 95 nt
Organism: Pelobates cultripes (western spadefoot toad)
Lineage: Eukaryota; Metazoa; Chordata; Amphibia; Anura; Pelobatidae
Source: the annotation of a GenBank genome assembly
CCGCCUCUCUCUCUCUCUAUGUAUAAAUGUAUAUAUAUAUAUAUAUAUAUAUAUAUAUAUAUAUAUAUAUAUAUAUGAGAGAGAGAGAGAGAGAG